Molecule: ribosomal RNA, 534 nt
Filed under: uncultured bacterium
Lineage: Bacteria
Description: bacterial SSU rRNA
Rfam family: Bacterial small subunit ribosomal RNA
Source: RNAcentral
AAUAGAUACCCCGGUAGUCCACGCCGUAAACGAUGAGUGCUAGGUGUUAGGGGGUUUCCGCCCCUUAGUGCUGCAGCUAACGCAUUAAGCACUCCGCCUGGGGAGUACGGUCGCAAGACUGAAACUCAAAGGAAUUGACGGGGGCCCGCACAAGCGGUGGAGCAUGUGGUUUAAUUCGAAGCAACGCGAAGAACCUUACCAGGUCUUGACAUCCCGCUGACCGCCAUGGAGACAUGGCCUUCCCUUCGGGGACAGCGGUGACAGGUGGUGCAUGGUUGUCGUCAGCUCGUGUCGUGAGAUGUUGGGUUAAGUCCCGCAACGAGCGCAACCCUUGUCCUUAGUUGCCAUCAUUCAGUUGGGCACUCUAAGGAGACUGCCGUACAAAUACGGAGGAAGGUAGGGAUGACGUCAAAUCAUCAUGCCCCUUAUGACCUGGGCUACACACGUGCUACAAUGGGUGUACAAAGGGCAGCGAACCCGCGAGGGGGAGCGAAUCCCAAAAAGCCACUCUCAGUUCGGAUUGCAGGCUGCAAC